RNAcentral lists this long non-coding RNA (761 nucleotides) under Callithrix jacchus (white-tufted-ear marmoset). RNAcentral describes it as "lncRNA (ENSCJAG00000062889.2)". The record is from RNAcentral. Lineage: Eukaryota; Metazoa; Chordata; Mammalia; Primates; Cebidae.
AAAUAACAUUAAGUGGAUCCCUAGACCUGUUGGGAAUUGAAUCACCAAUAGUCUGACCUAUAGGUAAAUUUCUCAUCCAGGUAUAAAAUUGCUGUUCAAAUUGUUGCACUAAUGGUACUUCCUCGCAUGCAGUCUGUUGGAGAGCUAGUGAGAAAUAAGGCUGAAAAUAAUUAAAAGUCAGAACUUGAAGGAUCUUGUAAGUAUGUCAUUGUGAAGGUUAUUAAAUUACAGGUUAAAUUAAUUCUGCUUUCCUCAGUUGUCCAAAUUCUCUGAACAAUGUUUUACUCCCACUGUAUCUUUCUAUCAUAGACUAAUCCACAAAACCUACUGCCAGGCCUGGAAAGCUAGAAGCUGGAAAAGGGAAGUGAGAGUUCAUUUUGUAUUCUGGAUGUCUGCUCUUCAUCUAUUCUGGUCACAUUUAUUAUAAAUGCUGAGAUGCAGAAGUGUCUGAGUUUGCACUAAUCUAGAGAAGUCUUCAGUCAAGAGUGCCUUGGGGUUGCGACUAAAUCUUAGACAAAAUUCAUAUGCAAAAGUCUCCAGCAUGACAAAGCUGAGGGUAAGAUUUUGCUUGAAAUAAGAACUUUGUUUAGAUUUCUCUCCUCUCUCCUGCUUUCUUCACUCCUCUAAUAGUUUCUUAUGGGAGCACUUCCUCAUGAAUUACUUGCAUUCAAGUCCUCAUCCUAUGGUCAGCUUUUGAAAAACUUGACUUAGAGAAGAAUCAUAAAAAAAGAUCCAAAAACUCCAGAACCUACACUUUUCAG